RNAcentral lists this ribosomal RNA (425 nucleotides) under uncultured bacterium. RNAcentral describes it as "partial 16S ribosomal RNA". It matches the Rfam family "Bacterial small subunit ribosomal RNA", at positions 354 to 796 of the family's 1533-position model. The record is from RNAcentral.
GUGGGGAAUCUUGCGCAAUGGGCGAAAGCCUGACGCAGCCAUGCCGCGUGGAUGAUGAAGGUCUUAGGAUUGUAAAAUCCUUUCACCGGUGAAGAUAAUGACUGUAGCCGGAGAAGAAGCUCCGGCUAACUUCGUGCCAGCAGCCGCGGUAAUACGAAGGGGGCUAGCGUUGCUCGGAAUUACUGGGCGUAAAGGGCGCGUAGGCGGACAGCUUAGUCAGAGGUGAAAGCCCAGGGCUCAACCUUGGAAUUGCCUUUGAUACUGGCUGUCUUGAGUUUGGGAGAGGUGAGUGGAACUCCGAGUGUAGAGGUGAAAUUCGUAGAUAUUCGGAAGAACACCAGUGGCGAAGGCGACUCACUGGCCCAAUACUGACGCUGAGGCGCGAAAGCGUGGGGAGCAAACAGGAUUAGAUACCCGGGUAGUCC